This is a long non-coding RNA of Strigops habroptila (Kakapo), 1978 nucleotides long. The record is from Ensembl. NCBI's taxonomy places the organism in Eukaryota, Metazoa, Chordata, Aves, Psittaciformes, Psittacidae.
GCACCGAAGGGCGCAGCGGGAGCCCUGAGGGCGCCACGCCGGACCCUUAGCCCGCGGGCGGGAGGCAGCGUCACACGUUGCAUCACGGCCCGGUCCAGGGGGAUGCGGCAGUUGAAGACAAGUCCCUGGGGAGCAGCCCCAGGCAAAUGAAUUGUGUUCCUUAUUAGGGACGCAAAAGAACUCGGUAAGUUGAGAUGGUGAACGCUGAGCUGGUUACGCUGGCUAGCUAGCCCACCUCUGUUACCUGCUUAAGAUCAGGGAAUGGAAGAACCCCCCAGCGCAUCAGUGUUGCGAAUCUCCCAGAACCGGAGGUCGGGAAGGAGGCAGAGAGCAGGAAUUCCAGGAAACUUACUACGCUGGAAUAAGAAACACAAGCGUUUGGCUUAAAAAAAAUUAAAAAAGAAGGGGGGGGAGGGGGAGAAAGGAGGCGCAAGCUUUUUCUUUUUUUCUGAUACCAUCAGAGAACAAAAGUUGACUUGGCACAAAAAUACAAAUCAAGGUGGGUACACCUUAAGUAAAGAUACAUCUGAAGUGCAACUGUACUAAAGAGAAUCACUUAAGCAUUUAGGAUAUGGGACUCCAUCUAAGAAACCCAAUCGGUAAGAAGUGCCCCCCUACUGUAUUUUCACAUGAGAAAACUGGCAGCCCUAGCCAAUUAUUUCUGAAAUCAUGGCAAUGAGGAGUCACAGGAACAGCUUGCCACAUCAGAAAUAAAAGCCCUCGUGAUUCCAGUGGAUUGCUUUCUGGUUUACUCACUCCUGAUGUAAGGAAAUCCAUCAAAUUCUCAACAUCUCUCAUACCUAUUCACGUGAAAUGAAGCUGAUAAGUUGAACAAUUAUCCGUGUGUAUUCUUUUAUAAUGAUCUGCAAAGGGACAAAGUUACGUGCUCUGUUUUCUUCUUCAGCUAUGUUAUAUGCCUGUGUUAGUUGCAUAUACACAACUAUAAUCCCAUUCGUUUGUUGGUAUACUCUUCAGAUUGCAGUUGUAAAGCAUGGAAAGAGCUUCUUGGUCAAAACCAAAGAGGAACAACAACAACAACAAAGUAAAAAAGCCCCACUUCAUGCAUCUACGCUUCAAAUUGACUCCAAAUUUCUCUAGCUGAGAUACACCCAUCAUCAAAUUCACUACAGCAAAGAGCUGUAAACUUAGUAUUUCAUGGAUUGGUAUGGAACUGAAUGUUUCCACAAUAUCUGGUAUUUUUCCACAUGCAAAAUAAAAGAAUUAAAAAAAGGGUACAUUUUGGGGGGAAAAAAAAAAAGGAAUUUGAGAGCUGUCACUUUAGAGAAGAUGCUGAGUUUAGAAUUCACCUUUUACACGAAAAACCAUUUUCAGAGUAAAACCUGCAAACAGGUUCAGGUAUCAUUAAACAGUUUCACUAAUUUUUAAGAAAGGAAUAAAGUCAUCGAGUUCUUUCUCUUCCCCUCCUGUGUUUUUAGGCAGAGAUUAAUGGUGAUGGGAAGCUAGAGAUGGUUCAGCUUUCCUCAAAACUAACAUUUAGGGGCAGUUAUUAGUAAAGGCCUUGCAUGUGAAGACACAGUUACAGAAGGGCAGGAAAAUGGAGGUGGAUCAAUUUCUGGAAGUGGAAAUGCAUUAUCAUAAAGUGAUUUAGUGGCUCAGGUUGAGGACCAAAGGGUAAAAUUUGGUAAGAAAGCUAAGCAGCACUUUUUUGGUCUCCUAUAAAGCAUAGACCAUUUGUAAACACAGAUGAAAAACUGUAUUAUUCAGGAUGGUUUGAAGUCAGCUUCUAAGAUGUGCGUUGCAGUAGGGGGUACUUUUAAUGGACUGAUCUGUCAAAGUAACCAUUCUCAUAAAAAGGUAGGUUAACACUUUCCAAAUGUUGUCAAUGACUUGUGCCUCAACAGGGAGAGGAGAAAGGAAAUGUUACUGAUUUCAUACAUGACCCAUACUAAACUGCAUAUUUCUUUUUUGAAGGUACUUUUUUUUUUAGAAGACUAUUUAAUAAAUAAAGGCAUUUAGA